This 76-nucleotide transfer RNA is filed under the name Planctomycetota bacterium. RNAcentral's name for it is "Planctomycetes bacterium (bioreactor metagenome) tRNA-Arg". It matches the Rfam family "tRNA". From Rfam's summary of the family: Transfer RNA (tRNA) molecules are approximately 80 nucleotides in length. Their secondary structure includes four short double-helical elements and three loops (D, anti-codon, and T loops). Lineage: Bacteria; Pseudomonadati; Planctomycetota. The record is from RNAcentral.
GCACCCGUGGCUCAAUGGAUAGAGCAUCGGUCUUCGAAACCGACGGUUGCAGGUUCGAGUCCUGCCGGGUGCGCCA